CCCUUAGAUGUUCUGGGCCGCACGCGCGCUACACUGAUGCAUUCAACGAGCCUAUCCUUGACCGACAGGUCCGGGUAAUCUUUGAAUCUGCAUCGUGACGGGGAUAGAUUAUUGCAAUUAAUAAUCUUCAACGAGGAAUGCCUAGUAGGCGCAAGUCAUCAGCUUGCGUCGAUUACGUCCCUGCCCUUUGUACACACCGCCCGUCGCUCCUACCGAUUGGGUGUGCUGGUGAAAUGUUCGGAUCGGCCGUUUGUCGCGGUUUCCGCGUCAUGUGGCUGAGAAGUUCAUUAAACCCUCCCACCUAGAGGAAGGAGAAGUCGUAACA
This 325-nucleotide ribosomal RNA is filed under the name uncultured eukaryote. RNAcentral describes it as "partial 18S ribosomal RNA". It matches the Rfam family "Eukaryotic small subunit ribosomal RNA", at positions 1470 to 1796 of the family's 1831-position model. The record is from RNAcentral.